Molecule: unclassified non-coding RNA, 345 nt
Filed under: soil metagenome
Description: partial contains 5.8S ribosomal RNA, internal transcribed spacer 2, and large subunit ribosomal RNA
Rfam family: 5.8S ribosomal RNA (bases 1-121)
Source: RNAcentral
GAUGAAGAACGCAGCGAAUUGCGAUAAGUAAUGCGAAUUGCAGAAUUUCCGUGAGUCAUCGAAUCUUUGAACGCACAUUGCGCCCACUGGUAUUCCGGUGGGCAUGCCUGUUCGAGCGUCAUUAUCCUCCCUCAAACCCCGGGUUUGGUGUUGGACCCAAGUUGUGUGAACAACUGGUCUCAAAGACAAUGACGGCGUCCGUGGGACCCUCGGUGCAACGAGCUUUUAGGAGCACGCAUCGAGUUGCAAGGACCUUCCGGGCCGGUCUCCUUUACCAUUUUACAAGGUUGACCUCGGAUCAGGUAGGAAUACCCGCUGAACUUAAGCAUAUCAAUAAGCGGAGGA